AUGUCCCCUUCAGAAGACAUCCCCAGACUGGCUUAGGGAUACUGGUGUGACCUCACCUUGCAGCCCCCAAAGAAGGAAUAGGGUGGACUAAAUGGACAGAGCCCCUCUCUAUCUGACACCUAGUAAGGGAGGAAAAUUCAGAAGUCCUGCAACCAUGUCCUGUUGUUCCCUCCCAGAUGCCCAGAAAGACUCCAGAUGCUUCAUUUAUUCUACUUUUUUGGUCCUGUCUCCAUCUGAGGGAUCCGGCCAUCCUAUCGUACUGCAUCUAUCUUGAAGAGGAGAAGACACCAUCAAAUCAAACUGCCAGGGAUGGUAGUAUCAUUGUUGUUUUGAUCCCCAUAUAUAGAUCCCUAUUGAUAUAGCCUGCCUUGUUUUAGUA
This is a long non-coding RNA of Mauremys mutica (yellowpond turtle), 379 nucleotides long. RefSeq lists it as uncharacterized. The transcript is spliced from 3 exons. Lineage: Eukaryota; Metazoa; Chordata; Testudines; Geoemydidae. The record is from RefSeq and is a predicted model, not a curated record.